GAUCAUGGCUCAGGACGAACGCUGGCGGCGUGCUUAACACAUGCAAGUCGAACGAAAAGAGGGAAGAGCUUGCUCUUCCCGGAAUUGAGUGGCAAACGGGUGAGUAACACGUAAACAACCUGCCUUCAGGAUGGGGACGAACAGACGGAAACGACUGCUAAUACCGAAUAAGUUCCAAGAGCCGCAUGGCCCAUGGAAGAAAAGGUGGCCUCUACCUGUAAGCUAUCGCCUGAAGAGGGGUUUGCGU
Molecule: ribosomal RNA, 247 nt
Filed under: uncultured bacterium
Lineage: Bacteria
Description: partial 16S ribosomal RNA
Rfam family: Bacterial small subunit ribosomal RNA
Source: RNAcentral